This 254-nucleotide ribosomal RNA is filed under the name uncultured bacterium. RNAcentral describes it as "partial 16S ribosomal RNA". It matches the Rfam family "Bacterial small subunit ribosomal RNA", at positions 524 to 776 of the family's 1533-position model. The record is from RNAcentral.
UACGUAGGCAGCGAGCGUUGUUCGGAGUUACUGGGCGUAAAGGGUGUGUAGGCGGUUGUUUAAGUUUGGUGUGAAAUCUCCCGGCUCAACUGGGAGGGUGCGCCGAAUACUGAAUGACUUCGAGUGCGGGAGAGGAAAGUGGAAUUCCUGGUGUAGCGGUGAAAUGCGUAGAUAUCAGGAGGAACACCGGUGGUGUAGACGGCUUUCUGGACCGUAACUGACGCUGAGGAGCGAAAGCGUGGGGAGCGAACAGG